GGACAGGGGCUGUAGAGGGAGAAACAGAGGAAGUAGAGGGGGAACAGAAGCUGUAGAGUUAAAUAGAGGGUAAGUAGAGGGGGGCUGGGGCAGUAUGGUGGGGGCCAGGUACUAUAGAGGGGGCACAGGGGCAGUAGAGGGGGGCAGGGGCUGUAGAGGGAAAUAGAGGGUCUGUAUGCACAGGGGCAGUAUGAUGGAGGCAGAGGCUGUAGGGGGAAUAAAGGGGCAGUAGAAGGGGUUAAUAUGGUGGGGCAGGGACUAUAGCGUGAAAUAGAGGGGCUGUAAAAGGGGCAGUAUUGUGGGGGGCAGUGGCUGUAGAGUGGCACAUAGAGUAGAGCAGUAGAGAGGGGCUGCUAAAAUAAAAAAAACAAAAACAAAAAACCAUGUUAAAAGUUCUUCUCCCUCCCACAUGCUUACCUUGGGCCAGGGAGGGGAGAACC
This is a non-coding RNA of Pelobates cultripes (western spadefoot toad), 440 nucleotides long. Lineage: Eukaryota; Metazoa; Chordata; Amphibia; Anura; Pelobatidae. The record is from the annotation of a GenBank genome assembly.